This is a long non-coding RNA of Haliotis rubra (blacklip abalone), 260 nucleotides long. RefSeq lists it as uncharacterized. NCBI's taxonomy places the organism in Eukaryota, Metazoa, Mollusca, Gastropoda, Lepetellida, Haliotidae. The record is from RefSeq and is a predicted model, not a curated record. The transcript is spliced from 2 exons.
CUGACAUAUUCAACCAUUCAUGGGGUCAUGGGGGCAAGCAUGUGCACUUAAAAACCCACUCAUCUGACGGUAGAUGACCAGAUGGUGGACACAAGAACACAUGCUGACACCUAGUUGCGGGUAUGGACCAAAUACUGUGACUAUGUGUCCCAGUUCACCCAGCUGCAAAUGGGUACCUUGUGAGGAGGAGGCUGUGUGAUAACUUGCUUGCGCGCUAACAGGCUGCAUGACUUGAAUACUCCCCAGAGAGUUGAGUUGGU